This 402-nucleotide ribosomal RNA is filed under the name Bacteroidota bacterium. Its description in RNAcentral is "Bacteroidetes bacterium partial 16S ribosomal RNA". It matches the Rfam family "Bacterial small subunit ribosomal RNA", at positions 355 to 776 of the family's 1533-position model. Lineage: Bacteria; Pseudomonadati; Bacteroidota. The record is from RNAcentral.
UGGGGAAUUUUGCACAAUGGGGGAAACCCUGAUGCAGCGACGCCGCGUGAUUUAGAAGGCCUUCGGGUUGUAAAAAUCUUUUCUAUGGGAAGAAAAUGACAGUACCAUAGGAAUAAGGACCGGCUAAUUACGUGCCAGCAGCCGCGGUAAUACGUAAGGUCCGAGCGUUGUCCGGAAUCAUUGGGCGUAAAGGGUACGUAGGCGGGUAAGCAAGUUAGAAGUGAAAUCCUGUAGCUAAACUACAGUAAGCUUUUAAAACUGCUCAUCUUGAGAUAUGGAAGGGAAAGUGGAAUUCCUAGUGUAGCGGUGAAAUGCGCAGAUAUUAGGAGGAAUACCGGUGGCGAAGGCGACUCUCUGGUCUGUAACUGACGCUGAGGCUCGAAAGCGUGGGUAGCAAACAGG